CGGCGUGCCUAACACAUGCAAGUCGAGCGAUCUCUUCGGAGAGAGCGGCGGACGGGUGAGUAACGCGUGGGUAACCUGCCCUGUACACACGGAUAACAUACCGAAAGGUAUGCUAAUACGAGAUAAUAUAUAAGAGUCGCAUGACUUUUAUAUCAAAGAUUUUUCGGUACAGGAUGGACCCGCGUCUGAUUAGCUUGUUGGCGGGGUAACGGCCCACCAAGGCGACGAUCAGUAGCCGACCUGAGAGGGUGAUCGGCCACAUUGGAACUGAGACACGGUCCAAACUCCUACGGGAGGCAGCAGUGGGGAAUAUUGCACAAUGGGCGCAAGCCUGAUGCAGCGACGCCGCGUGAGCGAUGAAGGCCUUCGGGUCGUAAAGCUCUGUCCUCAAGGAAGAUAAUGACGGUACUUGAGGAGGAAGCCCCGGCUAACUACGUGCCAUCAGCCGCGGUAGAUACGUAUGGGGCUAGCGUUAUCCGGAUUUACUGGGCGGAAAGGGUGCGUACGCGGUCUUUCAAGUCAUGAGUUAAAGGCUACGGCUCAACCGUAUUAAGCUCCUGAUACUGUCUGACUUGAGUGC
Molecule: ribosomal RNA, 580 nt
Filed under: uncultured organism
Description: SSU rRNA
Rfam family: Bacterial small subunit ribosomal RNA
Source: RNAcentral